UUUAAAUUGCUGUGGUAUUUUGACUAUACGAAGGUAUUGAAAUAAGGCUUUUAUUGGGUGCUAAGAGAAUGGUUAAACAAAGAUUGACUUUCUUUUAAUUUAAAAUUGAAUUUAAUUUAAGAGUGAAAAAGCUCUUAUAAGGUUCUGGGACAAGAAGACCCUAUGAAUUUUUUUUUAUAUAUUUAUUAAUGAUUUUUAAAAAAUGUAAUAUUUUUAUAAGUUGAUUGGGGUGAUUUUUAAAAAAUGUAUAUCUUUAAAAUUGUAUAAUUAGAACCAUAACUUGUGGUUGUUUGAUUAAAAUACUCUAGGGAUAACAGCGUAAUUAUUUUGGAUAGUUCAUAUAGAUAAAAUAGUUUGCGACCUCGAUGUUGGA
RNAcentral lists this ribosomal RNA (373 nucleotides) under Ornithodoros montensis. RNAcentral describes it as "Ornithodoros sp. 1 SN-2019 partial large subunit ribosomal RNA". Lineage: Eukaryota; Metazoa; Arthropoda; Arachnida; Ixodida; Argasidae. The record is from RNAcentral.